CCUACGGGAGGCAGCAGUGAGGAAUAUUGGUCAAUGGGCGCGAGCCUGAACCAGCCAAGUAGCGUGAAGGAUGACUGCCCUACGGGUUUUAAACUUCUUUUAUAAAGGAAUACAAUGAGGCACGUGUCCCUAUUUGUAUUUACUGUAUGAAUACAGAAAGGCAAACUCCGUGCCAGCCGCCGCGGUAAUACGGGGGAUACGUGCGUUAUCCGGAUUUAUUGGGUUGAAAGGGAGCGUAGAUGGGUUGUUAAGUCAGUUGUGAAAGUUUGCGGCUCAACCGUAAAGUUGCAUUUGAUACUGGCAGCCUUGAGUGCAGUUGAGGUAGGCGGAAUUCGUGGUGUAGCGGUGAAAUGCUUAGAUAUCACGAAGAACGCCGAUUGCGAAGGCAGCCUACUGAUCUGCAACUGACAUUGAUGCUCGAAAGCGUGGGUAUCAAACAGGAUUAGAUACCCCAGUAGUC
Molecule: ribosomal RNA, 460 nt
Filed under: uncultured bacterium
Lineage: Bacteria
Description: partial 16S ribosomal RNA
Rfam family: Bacterial small subunit ribosomal RNA
Source: RNAcentral